UGGUCUGAAGAUUGAUACCAAGUGCUGACC
Molecule: non-coding RNA, 30 nt
Filed under: Rattus norvegicus (Norway rat)
Lineage: Eukaryota; Metazoa; Chordata; Mammalia; Rodentia; Muridae
Source: RNAcentral